Molecule: ribosomal RNA, 613 nt
Filed under: uncultured bacterium
Lineage: Bacteria
Description: bacterial SSU rRNA
Rfam family: Bacterial small subunit ribosomal RNA (bases 1-519)
Source: RNAcentral
CCUACGGGAGGCAGCAGUGGGGAAUCUUGCGCAAUGGGCGAAAGCCUGACGCAGCCAUGCCGCGUGAAUGAUGAAGGUCUUAGGAUUGUAAAAUUCUUUCACCGGGGACGAUAAUGACGGUACCCGGAGAAGAAGCCCCGGCUAACUUCGUGCCAGCAGCCGCGGUAAUACGAAGGGGGCUAGCGUUGCUCGGAAUUACUGGGCGUAAAGGGAGCGUAGGCGGAUAGUUUAGCCAGAGGUGAAAGCCCAGGGCUCAACCUUGGAAUUGCCUUUGAUACUGGCUAUCUUGAGUUUGGGAGAGGUGAGUGGAACUCCGAGUGUAGAGGUGAAAUUCGUAGAUAUUCGGAAGAACACCAGUGGCGAAGGCGACUCACUGGCCCAAUACUGACGCUGAGGCUCGAAAGCGUGGGGAGCAAACAGGAUUAGAUACCCUGGUAGUCCACGCCGUAAACGAUGAGUGCUAGUGUCGGCGAUGCAUGCAUGUCGGUGACGCAGACUACGACAUAAGUACACUCCGCCGUCGGGUAGGUACGGUCGCGAAGAAGUUAAAACGUUAAAACGGUAAGUUAGUACGGACGUGAGACGUGCCGACGGACGACGACGAGGGAGGAGG